RNAcentral lists this ribosomal RNA (778 nucleotides) under uncultured bacterium. RNAcentral's name for it is "bacterial SSU rRNA". It matches the Rfam family "Bacterial small subunit ribosomal RNA", at positions 8 to 796 of the family's 1533-position model. The record is from RNAcentral.
AGAGUUUGAUCAUGGCUCAGGACGAACGCUGGCGGCGUGCCUAAUACAUGCAAGUCGAACGGGGUCCAUCUGGUGGUAACACCAGUGAAGACCUAGUGGCGAACGGGUGCGUAACACGUGAGCAACCUGCCUCGAAGACCGGGAUAACACCGGGAAACCAGUGCUAAUACCGGAUGCCCCCACGAACCCGCAUGGGUUUGUGAGGAAAGGAAUCCGCUUCGAGAGGGGCUCGCGACCUAUCAGCUUGUUGGUGGGGUAACGGCCUACCAAGGCUACGACGGGUAGCUGGUCUGAGAGGACGAUCAGCCACAUUGGGACUGAGACACGGCCCAAACUCCUACGGGAGGCAGCAGUAGGGAAUCUUGCGCAAUGGGCGAAAGCCUGACGCAGCAACGCCGCGUGGGGGAUGAAGGCCUUCGGGUUGUAAACUCCUUUUAGUGGGAACGAAAUUGACGGUACCCACAGAAAAAGCCCCGGCCAACUACGUGCCAGCAGCCGCGGUGAUACGUAGGGGGCAAGCGUUGUCCGGAUUUAUUGGGCGUAAAGAGCUCGUAGGCGGUUUGGCAAGUCGCGUGUGAAACCUCCAGGCUCAACCUGGGGACGCCACUCGAUACUGCCAUGGCUAGAGUCCGGUAGGGGAUCACGGAAUUCCUGGUGUAGCGGUGAAAUGCGCAGAUAUCAGGAGGAACACCAGUAGCGAAGGCGGUGAUCUGGGCCGGUACUGACGCUGAGGAGCGAAAGCGUGGGGAGCGAACAGGAUUAGAUACCCCCGUAGUCC